AAGAAAUUAGUUAAGUUUAUAACAUAUGUUUGUCAUGCAUAAAUCAUCUUCUAGAUAUUUCUUA
RNAcentral lists this transfer RNA (64 nucleotides) under Xeruca formosensis. RNAcentral's name for it is "tRNA-Asp". Lineage: Eukaryota; Metazoa; Arthropoda; Malacostraca; Decapoda; Ocypodidae. The record is from RNAcentral.